GGCAUUUCCAAUUGAUCUAAAUUGUUUAAUUUUAUUGAAAUAAAUCUUUUUUAAUUGGUAUCUAGUUAAAUAAUUAAUAAACUUUUUUUUAUUUGAUUGGUGGAGUUCCAUUGCAUGGUGUGACACCCAAUAUGUGAGACUCUUAUUGGAGAGAUGAUUAUGUUCUGACACUGUUUUCAUGAUUAUUGAGUGAUUACGUAAUUACCUAAUUGUAAC
Pelobates cultripes (western spadefoot toad) is the source of this 216-nucleotide non-coding RNA. Lineage: Eukaryota; Metazoa; Chordata; Amphibia; Anura; Pelobatidae. The record is from the annotation of a GenBank genome assembly.